This 2313-nucleotide long non-coding RNA is filed under the name Panax ginseng (ginseng). RNAcentral's name for it is "long non-coding RNA (PGIN_LNC004722)". The record is from RNAcentral. Lineage: Eukaryota; Viridiplantae; Streptophyta; Magnoliopsida; Apiales; Araliaceae.
AAGAUUUGAUCCAGUGGCAAUUUGGUAAUUUUUGUCAAGUUUGGAGUGUCGCUUUUUUGCUUUUUCGGAGCCUAAUUUCAUUGGAAACAGGUCAACGGUCAAAAGUCACAAGCGCUGAGCUCCUGAAUUGUAGUGUUUUUUUGGUCAAAUUCUAUCGUUUAGGCCUUCAAAAUUACAUUUUAUUAUUUUCGGGUUAAUUUUUUUUUAAUUUUCCUUAAUAGUUUUCCUUUUCCGUUUUGGAUUCCGCUUUUAGGAUUUUGUCAUUUUAACGUUUGUUAUGAUGUGAAGCAGCAGUUUUUAUGAACAACAGACUUUUUCUUAUUUUCCAAAAUUCUCUUAACUAGAAUUUUGUUGCCUAUUUGCUGGCUGGUAUUCGUAGAAUCAAUAUGUUGUAGAAGGUUAUCGUUUGGCAAUCGUGCGCGAUUCAACAAUUGAUAAAACUUUUCGUUGUAAUUCUGCUACGUUUACGUCGUGCAUGCGAUUUUAACAAGACACGUUCACUAGUACGCUCUUUUUUCACCGAAUAUCGCAAAAAAAUAUAUAUUAAAAAGGGGUGCAGUACGAGGACUUCCCAGGGGGUCACCCAUCCUAGUACUACUCUCGCCAAAGCAUGCUUAACUUCGGAGUUCUGAUGGGAUCCGGUGCAUUAGUGCUGGUAUGAUCGCACCCGUUAGAAUUCUCCAUUUUUAUUCCUAUAUUCCCAAAUGUGGGUGGGACGUAGUGACAUUAACGUCGCGCAUGUGCGUUUACCAAGACACGUUCACUAGUACGCUCUUUUUUCCACCGAAUUUCACAAAAAAUAUAAAAGGAGUUACAACACGAGGAUUUCUCAGGGGGUCACACUGAUGCGGUUGAAGAGCAAGUGUGUCAGUUUAUGAAAGGAUUUGAUAUAUUUGAUCUAGUUUAUGGAAAGAUUUGAUCCAGUGGCAAUUUGGUAAUUUCUGUCAAGUUUGGAGUGUGUUUUUUUUUUUUGCGUUUUCGGAGCCUAAUUUCAUUGGAAACAGGUCAACGGUCAAAAGUCACAAGCGCUUUGCUCGUGAACUGCAGUGUUUUUUGGUCAAAUUCUAUCGUUUAGGCCUUUAAAAUUACAUUUUAUUGUUUUCGAGUUAUUUUUUUAAUUUUCCUUACUAGUUUUCCUUUUCCGUUUUGGAUUCCGCUUUUAGGAUUUUGUUAUUUUAACGUUUGUUAUGAUGUGAAGCAGCAGUUUUUAUGAACAACAGACUUUUUCUUAUUUUCCAAAAUUCUCUUAAUUAGAAUUUUGUUGCCUAUUUGCUGGUAUUCGUAGAAUCAACAGGUUGUAGAAGGUUAUCGUUUGGCAAUCGUGCGCGAUUCAACAAUUGAUAAAACUUUUCGUUGUAAUUCCGCUGCGUUUACGUCGUGCAUGCGAUUUUAGCAAGACACGUUCACUAGUACGCUCUUUUUUCACCGAAUAUCGCAAAAAAUAUAUUAAAAAGGGGUGCAACACGAGGACUUCCCAGGGGGUCACCCAUCCUAGUACUACUCUCGCCCAAGCACGCUUAACUUCGGAGUUCUGAUGGGAUCCGUUGCAUUAGUGCUGGUAUGAUCGCACCUGUUAGAAUUCUCCAUUUUUAUUCCUAUAUUCCCAAAUGUGGGUGGGACGUAGUGACAAUAAUGUCGCGCAUGUGCGUUUACAAAGACACGUUCACUAGUACGCUCUUUUUUCCACCGAAUUACACAAAAAAUAUAAAAGAAGUUGCAAAACGAGGAUUUCUCAGGGGGGGUCACUGAUGCGGUUGAAGAGCAAGCGUGUCAGUUUAUGGAAGGAUUUGAUAGAUUCGAUCUAGUUUAUGGAAAGAUUUGAUCCAGUGGCAAUUUGGUAAUUUCUGUUAAGUUUGGAGUGUCAUUUUUUUUGCGUUUUUGGAGCCUAAUUUCAUUGGAAACAGGUCAACGGUCAAAAGUCACGAGCACUCUGGUUGUGAACUGCAGUGUUUUUUUGGUCAAAUUCUAUCGUUUAGGCCUUUAAAAUUACAUUUUAUUGUUUUUGGGUUAUUUUUUUUAAUUUUCCUUCCUAGUUUUCCUUUUCCGGUUUGGAUUCCGCUUUUGGAAUUUUGUCAUUUUAAGGUUUGUUAUGAUGUGUAGCAGCAAGUUUUAUGAACAACAGACUUUUUCUUAUUUUCCAAAAUUCUCUUAACUAGAAUUUUGUUGCCUAUUUGUUGGCUGGUAUUCGUAGAAUCAACAUGUUGUAGAAGGUUAUCGUUUGGCAAUCGUGCGCGAUUCAACAAUUGAUAAAACUUUUCGUUGUAAUUCCGCUACGUUUAUGUCGUGCAUGCGAUUUUAGCAAGACACGUUCAC